AACGAACGCUGGCGGCAUGCCUAACACAUGCAAGUCGAACGAGACCUUCGGGUCUAGUGGCGCACGGGUGCGUAACGCGUGGGAACCUGCCCUUAGGCUCGGAAUAACUCCCCGAAAGGGGUGCUAAUACCGGAUAAUGUCUUCGGACCAAAGAUUUAUCGCCUUUGGAUGGGCCCGCGUUGGAUUAGCUAGUUGGUAGGGUAAAUGCCUACCAAGGCGACGAUCCAUAGCUGGUCUGAGAGGAUGAUCAGCCACACUGGGACUGAGACACGGCCCAGACUCCUACGGGAGGCAGCAGUGGGGAAUAUUGGACAAUGGGCGAAAGCCUGAUCCAGCAAUGCCGCGUGAGUGAUGAAGGCCUUAGGGUUGUAAAGCUCUUUUACCCGGGAUGAUAAUGACAGUACCGGGAGAAUAAGCUCCGGCUAACUCCGUG
This 433-nucleotide ribosomal RNA is filed under the name uncultured bacterium. RNAcentral describes it as "partial 16S ribosomal RNA". It matches the Rfam family "Bacterial small subunit ribosomal RNA", at positions 29 to 507 of the family's 1533-position model. The record is from RNAcentral.